GGGAAUACUUCUGGAACAAAUAAUACAUAACUCCUUGCCUUCAUUCCCAAGUUUUCUUCUCUCCUCUUCCUCUCUCAAAUUCAAGAUUAAUCAACCAGAAAAAUAUGGCAGUUUUCCUUUUCAAACUGAUUUUCUUCGCUGUAAUCACAUUAUCAAAUCUCGUUUUACGCUUAAUCUUCACCUUUACAGCUUCCCUUCUAGUGUUGAUCAUCCAAGCUUUCAAGGUACCUGGUGAAGCUGCUCAUGGUGCACUACAACAGAUUGCAGAGGUCAUCAAGGCAUGUUUCGAGUACAUAUUGGAGCUAAUAAUGGAGGCAAUAAGCAGUUUAAUAUCAAGUGCCUUUGAUCUUCUUAUAGAAGCUAUUACGGGUUCUGCUGCUGUUACUGGGUCAGCUAUUGGAAGUCUAGCUGAGAAGGCGAGAAAUUCUCUUGAGGGAUUGUUGAAAGAUUUACCUGAACUUGCUGAUGGUUUCUCAGAGAUGGUUUCAACUAUGAUCACAGAUUUGUGGAACAAUUACAAGGAAGCUGUAGGAUAUGUCACAGAAAAUGCUUAAUUCAUUACGCACUUGUCUUUUUUUUUUGUAUCAUAUGUUCAUGAAUUUUUGCAAGCUUAAUUAACCUGUAAUUUCUUGAAGAUGACUGGAGAAAAGAAUCUGAUUUUGAUUU
RNAcentral lists this unclassified non-coding RNA (666 nucleotides) under Hevea brasiliensis (rubber tree). The record is from RNAcentral. Lineage: Eukaryota; Viridiplantae; Streptophyta; Magnoliopsida; Malpighiales; Euphorbiaceae.